RNAcentral lists this ribosomal RNA (518 nucleotides) under uncultured bacterium. Its description in RNAcentral is "bacterial SSU rRNA". It matches the Rfam family "Bacterial small subunit ribosomal RNA", at positions 131 to 644 of the family's 1533-position model. The record is from RNAcentral.
CUUAAGUGGGGAAUAACGCAUCGAAAGAUGUGCUAAUACCGCAUAUACUCUGAGGAGGAAAGCAGGGGACCGUAAGGCCUUGCGCUUUUGGAGCGGCCGAUGUCUGAUUAGCUAGUUGGUAGGGUAAGGGCCUACCAAGGCGACGAUCAGUAGUUGGUCUGAGAGGACGACCAGCCACACUGGGACUGAGACACGGCCCAGACUCCUACGGGAGGCAGCAGUGGGGAAUUUUGGACAAUGGGCGCAAGCCUGAUCCAGCAAUGCCGCGUGAGUGAAGAAGGCCUUCGGGUUGUAAAGCUCUUUCAGUCGAGAAGAAAAGGCUACGGUAAAUAAUCGUAGUUCAUGACGGUACCGACAGAAGAAGCACCGGCUAACUACGUGCCAGCAGCCGCGGUAAUACGUAGGGUGCGAGCGUUAAUCGGAAUUACUGGGCGUAAAGGGUGCGCAGGCGGCUUUGUAAGUCAGAUGUGAAAUCCCCGGGCUUAACCUGGGAAUUGCGUUUGAAACUACAAAGCUAG